AAUAGAUACCCCGGUAGUCCACGCCGUAAACGAUGAGUGCUAAGUGUUAGGGGGUUUCCGCCCCUUAGUGCUGCAGCUAACGCAUUAAGCACUCCGCCUGGGGAGUACGACCGCAAGGUUGAAACUCAAAGAAAUUGACGGGGGCCCGCACAAGCGGUGGAGCAUGUGGUUUAAUUCGAAGCAACGCGAAGAACCUUACCAGGUCUUGACAUCCCAAUGACCGCUCUAGAGAUAGAGUUUUCCCUUCGGGGACAUUGGUGACAGGUGGUGCAUGGUUGUCGUCAGCUCGUGUCGUGAGAUGUUGGGUUAAGUCCCGCAACGAGCGCAACCCUUAUUCUUAGUUGCCAUCAUUUAGUUGGGCACUCUAAGGAGACUGCCGGUGACAAACCGGAGGAAGGUGGGGAUGACGUCAAAUCAUCAUGCCCCUUAUGACCUGGGCUACACACGUGCUACAAUGAACGGUACAAAGAGCUGCGAGCCCGCGAGGGUAAGCCAAUCUCAUAAAACCGUUCUCAGUUCGGAUUGUAGUCUGCAACUCGA
Molecule: ribosomal RNA, 540 nt
Filed under: uncultured bacterium
Lineage: Bacteria
Description: bacterial SSU rRNA
Rfam family: Bacterial small subunit ribosomal RNA
Source: RNAcentral